AUUGAACGCUGGCGGCAGGCCUAACACAUGCAAGUCGAACGGUAGCACAGAGAGCUUGCUCUCGGGUGACGAGUGGCGGACGGGUGAGUAACGUCUGGGAAACUGCCCGAUGGAGGGGGAUAACUACUGGAAACGGUAGCUAAUACCGCAUAACGUCGCAAGACCAAAGGGGGGGACCUUCGGGCCUCACACCAUCGGAUGUGCCCAGAUGGGAUUAGCUAGUAGGUGGGGUAAUGGCUCACCUAGGCGACGAUCCCUAGCUGGUCUGAGAGGAUGACCAGCCACACUGGAACUGAGAAACGGUCCAGACUCCUACGGGAGGCAGCAGUGGGGAAUAUUGCACAAUGGGCGCAAGCCUGAUGCAGCCAUGCCGCGUGUAUGAAGAAGGCCUUCGGGUUGUAAAGUACUUUCAGCGGGGAGGAAGGCGGUGAAGUUAAUAGCUUCACCGAUUGACGUUACCCGCAGAAGAAGCACCGGCUAACUCCGUGCCAGCCGCCGCAGUAA
This 504-nucleotide ribosomal RNA is filed under the name uncultured bacterium. Its description in RNAcentral is "partial 16S ribosomal RNA". It matches the Rfam family "Bacterial small subunit ribosomal RNA", at positions 29 to 523 of the family's 1533-position model. The record is from RNAcentral.